This 354-nucleotide unclassified non-coding RNA is filed under the name soil metagenome. Its description in RNAcentral is "partial contains 5.8S ribosomal RNA, internal transcribed spacer 2, and large subunit ribosomal RNA". The stretch from base 3 to 119 matches the Rfam family "5.8S ribosomal RNA", at positions 38 to 154 of the family's 154-position model. The record is from RNAcentral.
GAGAAGAACGCAGCGAAAUGCGAUAAGUAGUGUGAAUUGCAGAAUUCAGUGAAUCAUCGAAUCUUUGAACGCACAUUGCGCCUUCUAGUAUUCUGGGAGGCAUGCCUGUUUGAGCGUCAUUAAACCUCUCUCAAGUAUGAUUACUUGGAUGUGAAGGAAGAGUACCUUAAACUUAAGGAGUGUUCUCCUUUGAAAUUGAUUAGCAGAUGGUAAUGUUAUUAAAUCCCUGAUGUUGUAAGAAAUAACAGUGGUUUUGUAGACUAUUAUCUAGCUUUAAAUUAUAAUUUUUAUUAUGGUUGACCUCAAAUCAGGUAAGGAUACCCGCUGAACUUAAGCAUAUCAAUAAGCGGAGGA